RNAcentral lists this long non-coding RNA (698 nucleotides) under Coturnix japonica (Japanese quail). Its description in RNAcentral is "lncRNA (ENSCJPG00005008628.1)". Lineage: Eukaryota; Metazoa; Chordata; Aves; Galliformes; Phasianidae. The record is from RNAcentral.
AUGUAUCUCAAUCCUUCUCUUAAAGAUACUUUUUCAGGUUUGGAUUCCCAUGCCACGUGUUUCCUAAGGGUUUUUCUCCUAAGUAAUUCCCAUUGCACUGAGUGGAGUUACUGCCUCCUCCAUCUGAACCUGCUCUCAGCUUCUGAUAAACCCAGCAACUCGUUGUCCAGCUUCCUGUUCCUGAUAUGCAGAACACAUGUCAGAACAACUGGCCUAAUGAGAGAUGAAAAAUGGGCUCCUGUCAUGAGAAUAUCAUAGUUGGAUGAUCACAGCUGGCCAUCAGGGAGUAACUGGAGUCUACUGGUUCAGCAGGAAUGGUGGCUUGGACUUGAGCUUCCCUAUGGCUGUCACAGUUGCAAUGUCAAGCAAUCCAUUUCAUAUACUGAUCUGCAGUUUCCUUCUGAUUUCAGUACUGACUGAGGUAAACUAACCUGUGUGUACCACAAAGUUUCUACCACUUUUUUUUUUUUUUACUUUUCUGGUUCUAUGUGUGACUUCUCAAAAAACACAUCAACAACAGCAACAAAAACCCUUUUUGUAUCUGUUUUGUCUGUGUAGUACCAAAAUGUCUUUGCACCAAAUGCCAGCAGUUGCUCAAAUAUACAUCAUGCAUUUUAUGAUUUUUCUUUUUCUCCCUCUGUUUUUGACUGAAUUGUGAGAUAACUCUGAAGCAUCAAAUAAAAAAGAAGCAUAAAUCA